Molecule: small nuclear RNA, 24 nt
Filed under: Arabidopsis thaliana (thale cress)
Lineage: Eukaryota; Viridiplantae; Streptophyta; Magnoliopsida; Brassicales; Brassicaceae
Description: snRNA_13752
Source: RNAcentral
AAUGCAGAUAAUUUUAUGAAAUCC